RNAcentral lists this long non-coding RNA (4851 nucleotides) under Triticum aestivum (bread wheat). Its description in RNAcentral is "long non-coding RNA (TAES_LNC008304)". The record is from RNAcentral. Lineage: Eukaryota; Viridiplantae; Streptophyta; Magnoliopsida; Poales; Poaceae.
CCAAACAAAAAGCAAAAGCAUCAGUGAGGUGAGCCAUGAUAAGCUUAUAGUGUUAAAAAAGCAGCUUGUUCCUCCUACAAAAGCCAGAUGUUUUUUUUUCGUGCCAUCUACUUUUAGAACAGCUACGGCCGAGUCAUAGAUGGAAAUAAACAGCGAACUUCCGUUCAUGAACACAUCUCAAGAAAAGUACAUGGGUCUCCUAAAAAAAUCACAGGGUCGGGGAAUGAUAAAGCUUUUCUGGCACUACCUCCUUGUCGCAGAAAAGAGCACUGGUGCCGGGCAAUGGGACGAUUGCGGGGAGCAGGGAGAAUUCACCGGAAAUGGCCUGACAGUGGCCAGGGUUGAGCUAGAAUUGUUUUGGCCAAGUGCAUAAUAUAAACAUGCACAUAACCCAUGCAGGCUUGCAUGCAAUUUUUUUGUUUGUGCUGGUGCAUUUUUCUUAGCCUAACAUGGUGCAUUUGCUAAGUUUAGGUCCUAAUCAGUACUAAUAAAAAUUCUUGGCCUGGGUGCCUGUGCACCGGGGCCCACUCUGAUUGGCCCCCGAUGGUGGCGGUGCCCAUGGCUACUCUCAUAAAAAGGAGUGCACAGUCUAUUAAGAAGAAAUGCCUUCUGAAAAGCAUAUCUAUUGCCAGUCAAGACCGUCCAUCGUUCGAAACCAGAAAGAUUUAAAACCUCAUGUUUUUUCUCUAUGGGUGGCAGCAGCUGCUCGAUAUCUGAGCAGAGACUGUGUGCCUUAGGAGGAUUCAAGCAUUCGAUGCUUAGCAAACUUAACUUAGAAAUUGCUCAUGUUUCCUGGAUGGCAACCGGCAAGCAUCAGUGAAAUCUCCAAUUGCGAAGGCCUCACAGACAGUAUAGUGUACAUCGAUCUUAUGUGUCUCUCUUUUUUUUUGUUAAACACUGAUUCGUCAAGAGAACAAAAAACGAUAUGAUGAAUAAUGACAACAGCAGAGAAGAUAUUUGUGUCCAAUUAUUACAACACAUGCUAGAUUAUUACAUGGAUAUGGGUGGAUUAAAAGAUCCAGAGAGGGAUGACAAAGCAAUGGAAGGAUCUGCAGAUGCAUCUGGUAUGAAGUUCCUCCAGCGUAACAACAGGUCAUCUCCAAGCUGUGAGCCAUGAGCAACCAACAUAAGCAAGGUAACCAGAAACAAAGAAAUUAGCCUAAAAUGACAAAUAUAUAAGCCUAAUUUCCAGUUUCCACACCGCUUAAUUUGUCGUCAAUCAUGUCGAGGGAAAUCGAAGGCGUACAGUAUCUCAAGGCUGGGAGCAGUGCGUGUAUUUAUAAGCUCGAUAAUGUGCUCCCCUGCAUCACCGAGCAUCUUGUGCGCCAUCUGCAGCCAGACAAAGGUGAGGAGCUCUCCUCCUCUGGCCAGCUGCGCUGCGUGCAUCUCUGGCCGGGACUUCCCGGCGGUGUACACAAUGAGCCUCACCCACAUAUCUCUUAUUUCCUCUAGCGCUUCUCUGCACGUCGACGUCAACAUGUCCUGAAUCGCCUCGCCGCUGAGGAAGGCCUCCUUAAAACUUCGCAGAACGGCAGCCUUGUCGCUGUAGUUUGAUCUUUCCUUAACAACCUUCCGCAUUGCUUCUAGUGCUAGUUCCGGAUUGCCGGCGGUGGCCUGCACCAUGGAAGCUGGGUGUGCAACUACCAGGUAGAACAUGUAGUUGGAUAGUUUUCGGCAGACACCAGCCAGAGCAACCAUGUCCUUAUCCAUGGUGCCAACGUGGCUCAUGUAUACCUCCGUGAAGAUAUGCAACCAGACUACGAAACCACUGAAAUCGGCGACGCCCUCCAUCAUGCGAUUCUUCAGGAACUGGCCGAGAUGAGGCCAGUGUUGCUGGCUUGCACUGCUCGAUCUAUCCAUGCCGCCAUAUGAUGUGAUCCACUUGGCAAUACAUUCUGUGAUCUCCUUAUCGACGGCCUCACACUUGGUAUCUAACAGCUUGCUGAUCCAAAGCACCUUGUCCUCGCCACCAGCUCCAAAUGCUCGUGCCACCUUCCUGAUCAGUCUCAUCACACAUCCUGGCAGGCUACUCGGCUUCUCCUCGCAUCCCAUGUAGCUCAGGAAGCUGUAUUGCCCCAUGCUGUUCGACCACAAUGGCCUCUCCUCUGGCCAUCCAAUAAUGUUGCUGGAUACAAGAGUCCACGAUAUGUUGGCGAGCCAACGGCAUUUCUGUUGGUCCUUCAACCAGGCCCAAGUCCAAGGUGACACCAUCACCAUCAUUAGCACAGAACAAACUUCCAGCAACAGGACUCCGGUAAAUAAUAUGUAGGUGAUUAAAAUGUCGACUCUGUUGUGCCGUCGCUUAUCGCUGGUACAGAAGAGCACAAGAGCAACUGUAGCCGAUACUUGAGAGAUGCAGCGGAGCACAGUGACGCUCCUUGUCCGCAGCACCGCAGCCUUGGUGUAGAGAUCAUGAUACAUGAUACCAAGUUCAACAUUAACCAGCUUGGCCAACUGUGCUUCAUUCAGUACGUGUCCUGCGAGAAAGAUUGCUUCGAAGCCUUGUAUCUGGUAUGGCUUAUGUCCAGCGAAUAGAUGUCGGAUGCUCGGUGAUGAAUCCAGGGCAAAACGAACAAUGCUAGAGUAGCUAGCAUCCUGAUUUAGGUUAGGCUUCUUUCCUCCUUCGCCUUUGAAGCCACUGAUGAUCCCGUACUUGAGAGCCAAUGUCCUCUCCGCAUACUUGAUGAUUCCAGCAACAAACAGAAAUACGCCUGGAACAAGAAGCUGCACAUUGCGCCAACCAGGUGACUUCCAAAAGACAUACAGGGCUAGGACCACUUGGAUUAUCAAAUUCAGCAAAUGCCUUAACCACAAGUUGUUGUCCUCGAUCGCAAAAGCAGUUAUGGUGUCCUGUCCACCAAGAUGAAUGAGGAGGAAAGGAGCCCAGAAGAAGGCCAGCGGAUGGUUUUCUGUUAGUGUGCCAGACUCUUGGGUGGUGUGCUCUUCAUUCUUUGAGAGAAAACCCAAGGCAUAAACUGCUACCAUGUCUGCCCCGAGGUAAGCUAUCCAGAUGGUGCCUCUAAGGAGCGCGUUGCUGCUACGCUGCCGAAGGUUGCCGCCAGUACCAAACAAGAACAUCUGUAGCAUAAAGCUAAGAAGCACAAGUUGUUGGAUCUCCCACUCAUUAAAUACUUCCAACAAGCUCUUCAUCAUUUGGAUUUUUAGUCACCGAACCCCUGGGGUGAAAAUAGUAAGUACAUUAGUGUGGCUUUCACGAAAUAUGAAAAUCGUAUUCGCAAGUAAUGAAGAGCCAUAUGCAUGGUUGUUGUAGUUCUUAAUAAAGAAAUAAAAAAAAUCAAUUAGCAUGCAGAACUAACCUAUAUCCCAAAGAUGCAAGCAUAACGCACUAAAACUUAAACUAUCAUAAGUUGUGGUAUAUGUCAACAUUCUAAACCUUACUUUACCGUGUAUCAUAUUUACAUGAAUAAAACACAGAAAGACUACUGAUUUUUUGUCAAAGUACAUGAGUUUAAUGAACAAAUAAUUGUUAUUCCAUCCGAUCCAUGUUAGUUGUUGUUGAUUUAGUACGAAGUUGUACUAAAUCGGCGACAAUUAAUAUGGAACGGUGGGAGUAAUAAAUAUUGUCAGUAACUUCAUAGUUGUUAUGAAUCUAUUUGCACAAAAUUCUACAUAUUUAUCUAAUAUCACAUAGAAAUGCACUGAUGACUCUAUAAUUGCCCAUCUGAGGCAGCUGAAGUUCUGAAAUUUAAAGCCACACAUGCUGUUCUAAUAUUACAUACGAAUAGCCGGUUGGCUCGAUACUUCUAUCUGCUAGAUGUGCAAAGCUCUUAGUUUUGUGCCUUAUAAAAAUUGAUUGCAUCAUGUAAUGCUUGGCCAUCUGAAAUGUGAUACAUACUUGUUUACUGAAUAAUUUUAACGGAAAUACGCAUACUCAGGCUUGGUCAUUCCUAAAUCCUGAAUCCUGCACGGCAGUAGGACUUAAGAGUGCGACAACAGAAAUGAGAAUAACUAAGCCAAGAUGAAUGAGCAUACCUUAGAACAGAUGCGUGGAUGCUUCUGCUACUUCAAGACAGAUGCUGCAAUAUUUAUUCCUCUCCUAUUAUGGCGUGUGGAAGAACCCCGUCAGCAUAAAUAAACUUAUAUAAGCCGAGAAGUGGCCAUAGGUCUCUGUUUCUUUCUUCAUAGAAGCAGCAGCCAGCAGAGGAGUAAACAAAGCACAAGAUCUGGAGUAAUGUCCCUUUGUACGUUACUUGCAAUAGGAGCAAAGGAUAAAGAACUAAAGGUGCGCCAAAGGGGAAAGAGCUAAACGUCUGCUUACUAAUGCCUGCUCACUUUAUUUUGGGCCAUGCAGUUUUAAUUACCAUUUAACCUUGGCUUAUUUAACAUAGGUAAUAACCAACUUGUUUCCAGCUGACAUAUUUCUUGCAGUAGCUGAGGAGUAAGAUGGAAGCACUAGACCCAGAGGUACUUGCCCUCGAAGCCUUCGUCCAAGAAGAUCAACCAGUGAAUUGAUACGCCACAGUCCUCCUUAGAUCACAUUUUUUGUAGGAUAUCCGAGAUGGUCGAUAGUCAUUCUUUAAGAGGGGGGUCAUUUACCCUAAAGGUAUGCAUCACUAUUUCCUGGACAUUCUGUUCGCCAUGUUUCUGUGGAUCAAUUGUCUCUGUUCAUUGAUUGUUGUCCAAAGUUUACUUCCAGAUUUGAUUGGAUUCAAUGCUACACAAACAGCAUGUUAUUUUGCUUUGUAUCGGACAAUUUGACUAGCAAUUAAGCACUAUUUGGAUGGUGGAAGGCAAGAAUUCUAUGUGGUGAUGUGCAUUAACUAAGCACCAAUGAUCAAUGUGCAUAUAUAAGUUGUCUCCUGAUGGAUUGGUUUUAUAAUGUUAAGUGGC